GUUCAAACUGUGCAUUCGAGAGCGGUGAGUGGGAAGGUGAGCCGGUGAGAAAGCGACCAUCGAGAUGUGGAAGGAAAAAUCGGAGGACCCGGACAAAAGUCCAAGCGGACACGGGGAGAGAGACACGCAAGCUCUAAAUACACAGCAGGCGUCAGGGUCGGGAUCGAACCCACGAGCUCCUGUACGCCAGGCGAGGGUUGACGCGAUCGCUUUCCGUGACCGGGAGAGCCUCAGAGUCGAGCCGCUGCUGCUUCGGAUCGAGAGGAGCCAGUUGAGGUGGUUCGGGCACCCGGAAUCGACUUGGCAAACCUCGUGCAAGAAUAAAAUCGCGAACAAAGAUACCAUCACGCACGAAGUCACGUGUGCGUGCCUGGGCAUGCGCGCGUGAGAGAGUGACGCUGCAGCGGUGAGCGUCCUACACUUCAAACGUGGCAUUCCAGAUCUCGAUUGGGGUGCCACGGUCCACGUGUCAACCUGGUUAUGAACACGAGCCAACGAGAGGGAGCCCCCCAACCCCGUAGGGGGCAUCUGGCCGACUCGUUUCACGUGCGCCAGAUGUCUUUGAAGAGGUGAGAGAGCAUCCACGGCAUCACCCGGCUGCACGCGGAACCGGGGCCAGUCAACUGCUGGGGUGGACAGUGGUGAUGGACGUC
Molecule: long non-coding RNA, 653 nt
Organism: Lethenteron reissneri (Far Eastern brook lamprey)
Lineage: Eukaryota; Metazoa; Chordata; Hyperoartia; Petromyzontiformes; Petromyzontidae
Source: RefSeq, a predicted model, not a curated record